UACGAAGGGGGCUAGCGUUGUUCGGAUUUACUGGGCGUAAAGGGCGCGUAGGCGGUGCGAUAAGUCAGGCGUGAAAGCCCCGGGCUCAACCCGGGAAUAGCGCUUGAUACUGUUGCGCUUGAAUCCAGGAGAGGAUGGCGGAAUUCCCAGUGUAGAGGUGAAAUUCGUAGAUAUCAAGCGGAACACCGGUGGCGAAGGCGGCCUUCUGGACGAGUACUGACGCUGAGACGCGAAAGCGUGGGUAGCAAACAGG
Molecule: ribosomal RNA, 253 nt
Filed under: uncultured bacterium
Lineage: Bacteria
Description: partial 16S ribosomal RNA
Rfam family: Bacterial small subunit ribosomal RNA
Source: RNAcentral